This 253-nucleotide ribosomal RNA is filed under the name uncultured bacterium. RNAcentral's name for it is "partial 16S ribosomal RNA". It matches the Rfam family "Archaeal small subunit ribosomal RNA", at positions 474 to 727 of the family's 1478-position model. The record is from RNAcentral.
UACCAGCACCCCGAGUGGUCGUGACGAUUAUUGGGCCUAAAGCAUCCGUAGCCGGUUCUACAAGUCUUCCGUUAAAUCCACCUGCUUAACAGAUGGGCUGCGGAGGAUACUAUAGAGCUAGGAGGCGGGAGAGGCAAGCGGUACUUAGUGGGUAGGGGUAAAAUCCGUUGAUCCAUUGAAGACCACCAGUGGCGAAGGCGGCUUGCCAGAACGCACUCGACGGUGAGGGAUGAAAGCUGGGGGAGCAAACCGG